GGCUUUUCAAGCCUCUCCCGGCUUCCUCCCCUUUUCUUUCAGGCAUUUCUCCUAAUUAAUUUCUUGCACUUUUAAUGGAUCUUGGUAACAGCUUCUCAGAGGACAGGGAAUAACAUAAGCGGGGAUCCACCAGGAAGCACAGAAAGCACCCAGAGGAGGAGGGACAGGAAACAUGGUAUUGGUUUAAAAACCAAACUCACUUCCCGAAAUACGGGCCACCGUGUGAGGCUUUAAUGAGGCGUUCUCAGGGCUCACAGGGAUGGCUUUGUAAUCUGCGUAAUUGGCCAGGCUGGACUACAUUUCCCAGGAUUCCUUUUCCCUCUAUGUUUCAGGUUAAUAAAGGCUCCAAGGGACGUUGUCUCGCGAGAGAUGGAAGCGGGCAACGGGGCGGCAGCCAUCUUGUAGGGCGCCCUUCCUUGCUGUCGAUCACCCCACUAAAGCUCAGGAAAAGAACAUAA
RNAcentral lists this long non-coding RNA (458 nucleotides) under Mustela putorius furo (domestic ferret). RNAcentral describes it as "lncRNA (ENSMPUG00000025448.1)". Lineage: Eukaryota; Metazoa; Chordata; Mammalia; Carnivora; Mustelidae. The record is from RNAcentral.